Molecule: unclassified non-coding RNA, 323 nt
Filed under: soil metagenome
Description: partial contains 5.8S ribosomal RNA, internal transcribed spacer 2, and large subunit ribosomal RNA
Rfam family: 5.8S ribosomal RNA (bases 1-120)
Source: RNAcentral
GAUGAAGAACGUAGCGAAAUGCGAUAAGUAAUGCGAAUCGCAGAAUUCAGUGAGUCAUCGAAUCUUUGAACGCACAUUGCGCCCUGUGGUAUUCCGCAGGGCAUGCCUGUUCGAGCGUCAUUUCAACCCUCAAGCUCUGCUUGGUGUUGGGCCCUGCCCGCUACGGCCGGCCCUAAAGACAGUGGCGGUGCCGCCUGGCCCUGAGCGUAGUACAUCUCUCGCUCCAGUGCCCGGUGGUAGCCUGCCAGAACCCCAACUCUCGUGGUUGACCUCGGAUCAGGUAGGGAUACCCGCUGAACUUAAGCAUAUCAAUAAGCGGAGGA